This 440-nucleotide ribosomal RNA is filed under the name uncultured bacterium. RNAcentral describes it as "bacterial SSU rRNA". It matches the Rfam family "Bacterial small subunit ribosomal RNA", at positions 958 to 1400 of the family's 1533-position model. The record is from RNAcentral.
AACGCGAAGAACCUUACCCAGGCUUGAACAGCGAGUGACCACUCACGAAAGUGAGCUUCCGCAAGGACACUCGUAGAGGUGCUGCAUGGCUGUCGUCAGCUCGUGUCGUGAGAUGUUGGGUUAAGUCCCGCAACGAGCGCAACCCUUGUCUGCUGUUGCCAUCACGUUAUGGUGGGCACUCUGCAGAGACUGCCGGUGAUAAACCGGAGGAAGGUGGGGAUGACGUCAAGUCAGCAUGGCCUUUAUGUCUGGGGCUACACACGUGCUACAAUGGCCGAUACAAACCGUCGCGAGCCCGCAAGGGGGAGCUAAUCGGAGAAAGUCGGUCUCAGUUCGGAUUGUCGGCUGCAACUCGCCGGCAUGAAGUUGGAAUCGCUAGUAAUCGCGGAUCAGCACGCCGCGGUGAAUACGUUCCCGGGCCUUGUACACACCGGUAUCUC